AUCAACUUUCGAUGGUAGGAUAGAGGCCUACCAUGGUGGUAACGGGUAACGGGGUGUUAGGGCACGACACCGGAGAGGGAGCCUGAGAAACGGCUACCACAUCCAAGGAUGACAGCAGGCGCGCAAAUUACCCAAUCCCGACACGAGGAGGUAGUGACAAUAAAUAACAAUACGGGGAUAACAAUACGGGGUUCUUUCGGAUCUCGUAAUUGGAAUGAGUACAAUUUAAAUCUCUUAACGAGGAACAAUUGGAGGGCAAGUCUGGUGCCAGCAGCCGCGGUAAUUCCAGCUCCAAUAGCGUAUAUUAAAGUUGUUGCAGUUAAAAAGCUCGUAGUUGAAUUUCGGGGUUAGUAAGUUGGUCGUGCCUUCGGUAUGUACUGGCUUUACUGAUUCCUCCUUCUUGACGAACCGUGAUGUCAUUAAUUUGGUGUUGCGGGAAAUCAGGACUGUUACUUUGAAAAAAUUGGAGUGUUUAAAGCAGGCUAACGCUUGAAUACAUUAGCAUGGAAUAAUGAAAUAGGACGUUAAUCCUAUUUUGUUGGUUUCUAGGAUCGACGUAAUGAUUAAUAGGGAUAGUUGGGGGCAUUAGUAUUCAAUUGUCAGAGGUGAAAUUCUUGGAUUUAUUGAAGACUAACUACUGCGAAAGCAUUUGCCAAGGAUGUUUUUAUUAAUCAAGAACGAAAGUUAGGGGAUCGAAGACGAUCAGAUACCGUCGUAGUCUUAACCAUAAACUAUGCCGACUAGGGAUCGUGUUAAUUUUUUUAUGACUCAUUCGGCGCCUUACGGAAACAAAGUGUUGGUC
RNAcentral lists this ribosomal RNA (802 nucleotides) under uncultured Glomeraceae. Its description in RNAcentral is "SSU rRNA". It matches the Rfam family "Eukaryotic small subunit ribosomal RNA", at positions 314 to 1113 of the family's 1831-position model. Lineage: Eukaryota; Fungi; Glomeromycota; Glomeromycetes; Glomerales; Glomeraceae. The record is from RNAcentral.